GGAGCAGAGAGAGAGGGGAGUGUCAGUGUGUGGCUCUGGACAGAAAGGCUGCAGCAAGCAGGCCCUCACAGAGGGAAGCAGCCAAGAACCUGCAUGAAGCCUGGGAAGAACAGAGCGGCCCAUUGGGGACACCCCAGGACCGGAGCCAGGAGGAGCACGGUGCCGGGGAGGAAUCAGCCGAGAAGGACAAACUGGAGCUGGACCCAGUAUCACUGCUGCCCAGAGCUACAUGAGGCUGAGCCCUCCACAAAGAAGUCGUCAGGCUCUGGACCAAGGGAAAGGCACCUCAAAAGGCAGGAACUGGAAACUACACCUAGCAUUUAACCACAAUUAAUCUGCAAGGGUUUCUUCAGAGUUGGGAAGAAUGCAAUCUGCUAAAACUUGCUGGAGGAGGCAUAUUUAGUUUUCCUUCCCCACUGCAGAACUGGAGAUGAGGGAGUAGAGUCUGCACUCAGUUAUGCUGGUAUGUAUCUGAACUAUUCUCCUCACCUUCUAAACGUAUGCAGUUGCUUGGCAGAAAGGAAGUGGGGAAGAAAAUGAAGAUUCCAAAGAAAAACCUUUGUGAAAGUGAGUCGUUGGGGAGGCUAACAAUCAAGUGAGACUGAUCAAUAGGUAAAAUAGGUAAAUCCUAUUGAAUCAUGGAGAAGUGUAUUGAAGCAAGGCCAAAUGGCCAGAAGAUGCACUCAGGGGCUCGCUCACCUACACAUCUACCAAUGUGAUAAAUGUCAUCAUAUACCAGCAAUGCUCCCCUAACAUGUACAUGAGCCAGACUAGAUAGUCUCUACGCAAAAGAAUAAAUGGACACAAAUCUGACAUCAGGAAUUAUAACAUUCAAAAACCAGUAGGAGAACACUUCAAUCUCCCUGGUCACUCAACAACAGGAGCAAGAGGCAAUUCUUCAACAACUUCAAAAACAGACUCCAACAUGAAACUGCAGCACUGGAAUUAAUUUGCAAACUGGACAUCAUCAAAUUAGGCCUGAAUAAAGAGUGGGAGUUGUUGGGUCAUUACAAAAUCUAAUUUCCCCUACUGACAGGUUUCAGAGGAACAGCCGUGUUAGUCUGUAUUCGCAAAAAGAAAAGGAGUACUUGUGGCACCUUAGAGACUAACCAAUUUAUUUGAGCAUGAGCUGAUGAAGUGAGCUGUAGCUCACGAAAGCUCAUGCUCAAAUAAAUUGGUUAGUCUCUAAGGUGCCACAAGUACUCCUUUUCUUUUUGCAAUUUCCCCUACUGUUACUCACACCUUCUUGUCAACUGUUUGAAACAAGUCGCUCUCAUUACCACUGCAAAAGUGAUUUUUCCUCCCUUGGUAUCUUACUGUUAAUUGAAUUGUCUCAUUAGACUGACCUCCCACUUGGUAAGGCAACUCCCAUCUUUUCACGUGCUGUGAAUUUAUACCUGCUACUGUAUUUUCCACUCCAUGCAUCUGAUGAAGUGGGUUCCUGCCCACAAAAGCUUAUGCCCAAAUAAAUUUUAGUCUCUAAGGUGCCACAAGGACUCCUCGUUAUUUUUGCUGAUAAAAACCAACACGGUUACCACUUGGAAACCUGUCAGAUAGAGGAGGUGCACCUACAUAUGGCAGGACAUGUUCCAAUAGGAUCAAGAUUACUAUGGAAAUGAAACCUUUACGGCCCACUCACCACGCCACUGAGAUAAUUAUUGAAGCUAUUUCCAUUAAAAAAAAAAGGAGUUAGCUGUAAUUAAAGGGAACACAAAGAUCUAAUCCUGCACGUACCUACUCUAUGUAAUCGUGUGUCACCCUUCCCUUGCCCUUCCACCAUGUGUCUGUGGCAUCUUGUCUUAC
This is a long non-coding RNA of Caretta caretta (loggerhead turtle), 1803 nucleotides long. RefSeq lists it as uncharacterized. Lineage: Eukaryota; Metazoa; Chordata; Testudines; Cheloniidae. The record is from RefSeq and is a predicted model, not a curated record.